UUGAACGCUGGCGGCAGGCCUAACACAUGCAAGUCGAGCGGAUGAAGGGAGCUUGCUCCUGGAUUCAGCGGCGGACGGGUGAGUAAUGCCUAGGAAUCUGCCUGGUAGUGGGGGAUAACGUCCGGAAACGGGCGCUAAUACCGCAUACGUCCUGAGGGAGAAAGUGGGGGAUCUUCGGACCUCACGCUAUCAGAUGAGCCUAGGUCGGAUUAGCUAGUUGGUGGGGUAAAGGCCUACCAAGGCGACGAUCCGUAACUGGUCUGAGAGGAUGAUCAGUCACACUGGAACUGAGACACGGUCCAGACUCCUACGGGAGGCAGCAGUGGGGAAUAUUGGACAAUGGGCGAAAGCCUGAUCCAGCCAUGCCGCGUGUGUGAAGAAGGUCUUCGGAUUGUAAAGCACUUUAAGUUGGGAGGAAGGGCAGUAAGUGAAUACCUUGCUGUUUUGACGUUACCAACAGAAUAAGCACCGGCUAACUUCGUG
RNAcentral lists this ribosomal RNA (483 nucleotides) under uncultured bacterium. RNAcentral's name for it is "partial 16S ribosomal RNA". It matches the Rfam family "Bacterial small subunit ribosomal RNA", at positions 30 to 507 of the family's 1533-position model. The record is from RNAcentral.